Molecule: ribosomal RNA, 254 nt
Filed under: uncultured bacterium
Lineage: Bacteria
Description: partial 16S ribosomal RNA
Rfam family: Bacterial small subunit ribosomal RNA
Source: RNAcentral
UACGAAGGGGGCGAGCGUUGUUCGGAAUUACUGGGCGUAAAGGGCGCGUAGGCGGCCACCGCAAGUCGAUUGUGAAAUCUCCGGGCUUAACCCGGAAAGGUCAACCGAUACUGCGGGGCUAGAGUGCGGAAGGGGCAACUGGAAUUCUUGGUGUAGCGGUGAAAUGCGUAGAUAUCAAGAGGAACACCUGCGGCGAAGGCGGGUUGCUGGGCCGACACUGACGCUGAUGCGCGAAAGCUAGGGGAGCGAACGGG